Molecule: long non-coding RNA, 781 nt
Organism: Choloepus didactylus (southern two-toed sloth)
Lineage: Eukaryota; Metazoa; Chordata; Mammalia; Pilosa; Megalonychidae
Exons: 3
Source: RefSeq, a predicted model, not a curated record
UCCAAAGACCAGUGACAGCGUCUAGGGCAUGGUUUUCCAGCAUUUUUAAAAUCCCGACUUUUUCAGAACAAAACCCCAGUGCCACCCAAAUCUUGCACACUGAGGGUUUUGGACUCCAAAGCUCCACCAGCAGAGUGCUUCGCAGGCAGAGUCUUUUCUGUGAGAAAGACGACAGAGUAUCUGAGGACCACCUCCCUGCUAGCCAAGAAGAUUUUGAGGCGGUUUAGUCCCUCUGCUUUGCAUUCUGAAAACCGCAGAUGGAGAGGAAGAGGCAUAAAUCUCUCCCUCGUUGGAUUCUGCACCCCGCCCCCCCGCCUCGGUUUUGCAGCAGAUGCUCAGCCCAUGGGAGUGAUUCCCCGGGACUUGGGGUCUAACCCUCCUCUGCCACCACCCGCUUAGAGGGGCCGAUGGAAGAAAGGAUUAAAAACCAAGUGAUGGUGAAGGUUCCUUGGGGCACUGGACACCCAGGGUCACAUCUUCCUGGAUGACUGAUCGGAAUUAUCUUGGAGGAGAAAAGAAGCCCACAGCGGCACGAUGCUGGCCUUGAGAUGGCUGCCCCCCACCAGCAGGUCAGCCUCACUCAGGGACUGGUGGAUCAUCCCUCUGCACGUUCUAGACUCUUUACCACAUAUGUACAAAUCUGUGAACCUUACACACCGUUGUUUCAAAUGUUUGAAUGUUUUACAAUUUUACAAAGUGAGUAGCAUCUGUACAUGUCCUAUUUGUAACCUACUUUUUCCUUCAUUCAAUAUUAUUUGUUUGUAAUAACAAAACAGUGGAA